RNAcentral lists this ribosomal RNA (580 nucleotides) under uncultured Chitinophagaceae bacterium. RNAcentral's name for it is "bacterial SSU rRNA". It matches the Rfam family "Bacterial small subunit ribosomal RNA", at positions 102 to 680 of the family's 1533-position model. The record is from RNAcentral. Lineage: Bacteria; Pseudomonadati; Bacteroidota; Chitinophagia; Chitinophagales; Chitinophagaceae.
ACGGGUGCGGAACACGUACACAACCUUCCUUUAAGUGGGGAAUAGCCCAGAGAAAUUUGGAUUAAUACCCCGUAACAUAUAGAAGUGGCAUCACUUUUAUAUUAUAGCUCCGGCGCUUAAUGAUGGGUGUGCGCCUGAUUAGGUAGUUGGCGGGGUAACGGCCCACCAAGCCCUCGAUCAGUAACUGGUGUGAGAGCACGACCAGUCACACGGGCACUGAGACACGGGCCCGACUCCUACGGGAGGCAGCAGUAAGGAAUAUUGGUCAAUGGACGCAAGUCUGAACCAGCCAUGCCGCGUGGAGGAUGAAGGUCCUCUGGAUUGUAAACUUCUUUUAUCUGGGACGAAAAAGGGUCUUUCUAGAUCAACUGACGGUACCAGAUGAAUAAGCACCGGCUAACUCCGUGCCAGCAGCCGCGGUAAUACGGAGGGUGCAAGCGUUAUCCGGAUUCACUGGGUUUAAAGGGUGCGUAGGUGGAUUGCCAAGUCCGUGGUGAAAUCUCCGAGCUUAACUCGGAAACUGCCGUGGAUACUGGUAGUCUUGAAUACCGUGGAGGUCAGUGGAAUAUGUCAUGUAGCG